UGGGGAAUAUUGGACAAUGGGCGCAAGCCUGAUCCAGCCAUGCCGCGUGAGUGAUGAAGGCCCUAGGGUUGUAAAGCUCUUUCACCGGUGAAGAUAAUGACGGUAACCGGAGAAGAAGCCCCGGCUAACUUCGUGCCAGCAGCCGCGGUAAUACGAAGGGGGCUAGCGUUGUUCGGAUUUACUGGGCGUAAAGCGCACGUAGGCGGACUAUUAAGUCAGGGGUGAAAUCCCGGGGCUCAACCCCGGAACUGCCUUUGAUACUGGUAGUCUUGAGUGCGAGAGAAGUGAGUGGAAUUCCGAGUGUAGAGGUGAAAUUCGUAGAUAUUCGGAGGAACACCAGUGGCGGAGGCGGCUCACUGGCUCGAUACUGACGCUGGGGUGCGAAAGCGUGGGGAGCAAACAGG
This 404-nucleotide ribosomal RNA is filed under the name Verrucomicrobiota bacterium. Its description in RNAcentral is "Verrucomicrobia bacterium partial 16S ribosomal RNA". It matches the Rfam family "Bacterial small subunit ribosomal RNA", at positions 355 to 776 of the family's 1533-position model. Lineage: Bacteria; Pseudomonadati; Verrucomicrobiota. The record is from RNAcentral.